This 115-nucleotide ribosomal RNA is filed under the name uncultured eukaryote. RNAcentral's name for it is "partial small subunit ribosomal RNA". The record is from RNAcentral.
UUGCUCUUGGUCUGAGCCAUGUCGAUUAGGUUGGUAUUGUCGUCGCCAUUAGUAUUGCCGGCCAGGACCUGGAUGUACAAGUCGUUGCCCCCCGUGAGCUCAUUCCCGUCCAGGU